Tripterygium wilfordii is the source of this 256-nucleotide long non-coding RNA. RefSeq lists it as uncharacterized. The transcript has 3 exons. The record is from RefSeq and is a predicted model, not a curated record. Lineage: Eukaryota; Viridiplantae; Streptophyta; Magnoliopsida; Celastrales; Celastraceae.
AGUUGACUUCUAACUAAAACCUUGGAGUUCAAAGAGAGGUUGAGACAAAGGGAGACGCUAGCAGAUAUUCAAGCUGAGGCAUUUGCUGUUGUUCGUGAAGCCGCAAGAAGGAAGCUUGGAAUGCGCCAUUUUGAUGUACAGAUCAUUGGUGGAGCAGUACUUCAUGAUGGGUCCAUUGUUGAGAUGAAAACAGGAGAGGGAAAAACAUUGGUUUGAACAUUAGCUGCUUAUCUUAAUGCGUUAACUGGUGAGGGCG